CCUACGGGUGGCAGCAGUGGGGAAUAUUGCACAAUGGCGGAAACCCUGAUGCAGCGACGCCGCGUGAGUGAAGAAGUAAUUCGUUAUGUAAAGCUCUAUCAGCAGGGAAGAAAAUGACGGUACCUGAGUAAGAAGCCCCGGCUAAAUACGUGCCAGCAGCCGCGGUAACACGUAGGGGGCAAGCGUUAUCCGGAUUUACUGGGUGUAAAGGGGGCGUAGACGGGAGUGCAAGUCUGGAGUGAAAGGCGGGGGCUCAACCCCCGGAGUGCUCUGGAAACUGGACGGCUGGAGUGCGGGAGAGGUAAGUGGAAUGCGUGGUGUAGCGGUGAAAUGCAUAGAUAUUAGGAGGAACACCGGUGGCGAAGGCAGCUUACUGGACUGUAACUGACGUUGAGGCACGAAAGCGUGGGGAGCAAACAGGAUUAGAUACCCGUGUAGUC
This 440-nucleotide ribosomal RNA is filed under the name uncultured bacterium. RNAcentral describes it as "partial 16S ribosomal RNA". It matches the Rfam family "Bacterial small subunit ribosomal RNA", at positions 338 to 795 of the family's 1533-position model. The record is from RNAcentral.